UUGCGACUAAAGUUGAUGUUUUUGGUCAAAGUUGGUGGAAACUCCAGGUUUGCGACUAAAGUUGAUGUUUUUGGUCAAAGUUGGUGGAAACUCGAGGUUUGCGACUAAAGUUGAUGUUUUUGGUCAAAGUUGGUGGAAACUGGAAGUUUGCUACCAAAGAUGAUGAUUUCGGUCAAAGUUGAUGUUUUUGGUCAAAGUUUUUGGAAACUGGAAGUUUGCAACCAAAGAUGAUGAUUUCGGUCAAAGUUGAUGUUUUUGGUCAAAGUUGGUGGAAACUGGAAGUUUGCAACCAAAGAUGAUGAUAUCGGUCAAAGUAGAUGUUUUUGGUCAAAGUUGGUGGAAACUGGAAGUUUGCAACCAAAGAUGAUGAUUUCGGUCAAAGUAGAUGUUUUUGGUCAAAGUUGGAGGAGACUGGAAGUUUGCAACCAAAGAUGAUGAUUUCGGUCAAAGUUGAUUUUUUUGGUCAAAGUUGGUGGAAACUGGAAGUUUGCUACCAAAGAUGAUGAUUUCGGUCAAAGUAGAUGUUUUUGGUCAAAGUUGGUGGAAACUGGAAGUUUGCAACCAAAGAUGAUGAUUUCGGUCAAAGUAGAUGUUUUUGGUCAAAGUUGGUGGAAACUGGAAGUUUGCAACCAAAGAUGAUGAUUUCGGUCAAAGUUGAUGUUUUUGGUCAAAGUUGGUGGAAACUGGAAGUUUGCAACCAAAGAUGAUGAUUUCGGUCAAAGUAGAUGUUUUUGGUCAAAGUUGGUGGAAACUGGAAGUUUGCAACCAAAGAUGAUGAUUUCGGUCAAAGUAGAUGUUUUUGGUCAAAGUUGGUGGAAACUGGAAGUUUGCAACCAAAGAUGAUGAUUUCGGUCAAAGUAGAUGUUUUUGGUCAAAGUUGGUGGAAACUGGAAGUUUGCAACCAAAGAUGAUGAUUUCGGUCAAAGUAGAUGUUUUUGGUCAAAGUUGAUGGAAACUCGAGGUUUGCGACUAAAGUUGAUGAUUUCGGUCAAAGUAGAUUUUUUUGGUCAAAGUUUGUGGAAACUGGAAGUUUGCAACCAAAGAUGAUGGUUUCGGUCAAAGUUGAUGUUUUUGGUCAAAGUUGGUGGAAACUGGAAGUUUGCAACCAAAGAUAAUGAUUUCGGUCAAAGUUGAUGUUUUUGGUCAAAGUUGGUGGAAACUCGAGGUUUGCGACUAAAGUUGAUGUUUUUGGUCAAAGUUGGUGGAAACUCGAGGUUUGCGACUAAAGUUGAUGUUUUUGGUCAAAGUUGGUGGAAACUCGAGGUUUGCGACUAAAGUUGAUGUUUUUGGUCAAAGUUGGUGGAAACUCGAGGUUUGCGACUAAAGUUGAUGUUUUUUUUCAAAGUUGGUGGAAACUGGAAGCUUGCCACCAAAGAUGAUGAUUUCGGUCAAAGUUGAUGUUUUUGGUCAAAGUUUUUGGAAACUGGAAGUUUGCGACCAAAGUUGAUGAUUUCGGUCAAAGUUGAUGUUUUUGGUCAAAGUUGGUGGAAACUGGAAGUUUGCAACCAAAGUUGAUGUUUUCGGUCAAAGUUGAUGUUUUUGGUCAAAGUUGGUGGAAACUGGAAGUUUGCAACCAAAGAUGAUGAUUUCGGUCAAAGUAGAUGUUUUUGGUCAAAGUUGGUGGAAACUGGAAGUUUGCAACCAAAGAUGAUGAUUUCGGUCACAGUUGAUGUUUUUGGUCAAAGUUGGUGGAAACUCGAGGUUUGCGACUAAAGUUGAUGUUUUUGGUCAAAGUUGGUGGAAACUCGAGGUUUGCGACUAAAGUUGAUGUUUUUGGUCAAAGUUGGUGGAAACUGGAAGUUUGCUACCAAAGAUGAUGAUUUCGUUAAAAGUUGAUGUUUUUGGUCAAAGUUUUUGGAAACUGGAAGUUUGCAACCAAAGAUGAUGAUUUCGGUCAAAGUUGAUGUUUUUGGUCAAAGUUGGUGGAAACUGGAAGUUUGCAACCAAAGAUGAUGAUAUCGGUCAAAGUAGAUGUUUUUGGUCAAAGUUGGUGGAAACUGGAAGUUUGCAACCAAAGAUGAUGAUUUCGGUCAAAGUAGAUGUUUUUGGUCAAAGUUGGAGGAGACUGGAAGUUUGCAACCAAAGAUGAUGA
Molecule: long non-coding RNA, 2092 nt
Organism: Anopheles funestus (African malaria mosquito)
Lineage: Eukaryota; Metazoa; Arthropoda; Insecta; Diptera; Culicidae
Exons: 3
Source: RefSeq, a predicted model, not a curated record